Molecule: ribosomal RNA, 406 nt
Filed under: uncultured bacterium
Lineage: Bacteria
Description: partial 16S ribosomal RNA
Rfam family: Bacterial small subunit ribosomal RNA
Source: RNAcentral
AUUGAACGCUGGCGGCAGGCCUAACACAUGCAAGUCGAACGAGUGGCGGACGGGUGAGUAAUGUCUGGGAAACUGCCCGAUGGAGGGGGAUAACUACUGGAAAAGGUAGCUAAUACCGCAUACUAUCGGAUGUGCCCAGAUGGGAUUGGCUGGUAGGUGGGGUAACGGCUCACCUAGGCGACGAUCCCUAGCUGGUCUGAGAGGAUGACCAGCCACACUGGGACUGAGACACGGUCCAGACUCCUACGGGAGGCAGCAGUGGGGAAUAUUGCCCAAUGGGCGCGAGCCUGAUGCAGCCAUGCCGCGUGUAUGAAGAAGGCCUUCGGGUUGUAAAGUACUUUCAGCGGGGAGGCGUUACCCGCAGAAGAAGCACCGGCUAACUCCGUGCCAGCAGCCGCGGUAAUUC